UACGGAAGGCAGCAGUGGGGAAUAUUGCACAAUGGGCGAAAGCCUGAUGCAGCUAUGCCGCGUGUAUGAAGAAGGCCUUAGGGUUGUAAAGUACUUUCAUCGGGGAGGAAAAAACAAAACUAAUAAUUUUAUUUCUUGACGUUACCCGAAAAAGAAGCACCGGCUAACUCCGUGCCAGCAGCCGCGGUAAUACGGAGGGUGCUAGCGUUAAUCAGAAUUACUGGGCGUAAAGAGCACGUAGGUGGUUUUUUAAGUCAGAUGUGAAAUCCCUGGGCUUAACCUAGGAACUGCAUUUUGAAACUGAAAUACUAGAGUAUCGUAGAGGGAGGUAGAAUUCUAGGUGUAGCGGUGAAAUGCGUAGAUAUCUGGAGGAUACCUGUGGCGAAAGCGGCCUCCUAAACGAAUACUGACACUGAGGUGCGAAAGCGUGGGGAGCAAACAGGGAUUAGAUACC
RNAcentral lists this ribosomal RNA (454 nucleotides) under uncultured bacterium. RNAcentral's name for it is "bacterial SSU rRNA". It matches the Rfam family "Bacterial small subunit ribosomal RNA", at positions 340 to 786 of the family's 1533-position model. The record is from RNAcentral.